Molecule: non-coding RNA, 2153 nt
Organism: Schizosaccharomyces pombe (fission yeast)
Lineage: Eukaryota; Fungi; Ascomycota; Schizosaccharomycetes; Schizosaccharomycetales; Schizosaccharomycetaceae
Source: the annotation of a GenBank genome assembly
CAGCUGUAAUUAUAAAAUUAAAUAUCAACAAAGAAUACUUACCUGAACCACAAGAUGGUCUUUGAACACAUGCUUAACGACCUUAACAACAAAUUCAGUUUCCUGCUCAGUGAGCUCAAUAGGUGACGGCGAUGAUUUCAGUACUGGGCCAUAUUCAUUAAAUUCUGAAACGGAUUCUAAUGCGUUUAAAAACUCGGUUUCAAUGUUAGAACUGGCAAGAGCAUUUUGGUCCUCAGCAGGAGUAACCUCUGUAAACUCUACCUCUGUCGUGGCCUUUUUGAUUCUCAAAUUCUCAGCAUCAAUCUCUUCUUGAGAUAGUACGGGCACAGAUUUGAUAUCAAAGCCUUGUCCGAACUUCCUUUCAGAAAUAUAUAUAACAAGGCUACGCUCUAAAGCAGGUAAUGAGGGAAUUUUAUCAGAUUUAACCACUGGCAAAAAUGCAUCUCUAUCCUCAAGCGCCUUUACACUAAAAGCAGCACGAUCACGAACCUCGUCAUCAGCAUCUUCCAAACACCUUGUGAGAAUAACCUUAACACUCCGUUGGACAAAUUUAUCUUCCGCAUUCAAUCCAAAUUUGGUCAAAGCGCUAACGGCAGCGGAACGUACGAUGGCAUUCUCAAGCAUAAUCCGAUUGUAAAUAUAGCGGAUAAAUCUCGUUGGUUCUGAGGCUUUAGGACCUUCUUCGCCGAGAAUAGAUAAAAUCCGUACCGCAAUCUUAGGAUAUUCACAAUCCUCUAUAAAUUCACAUAACUCGGCAAGGGCUCGUUCUUUAGAUUCCGGAAUGUAUUUAAUCAUGUCAGAAAUAGCAUCAACGGCAGCACGUUUAAAUUCAUAACCACCUUCAUCGCAAAGUAUAUUACUAAGAAAGGUAAGCAUUGAAUCUUGCUUGCGAGGAAAUUUUAGACAUAAAGAACGAAUGGCAUCAACGACGAUAAUUUUGAAAUUAUCUGAAAUAUCGGACAUAAAGGUAACAAUCUGUUUCAUCAAACGGUCGACAGACUCAUCAUUACCAGUCUUUAGAAGUGUUGUGAUAGCGUAGGUGGCAAUGGAGCGAUUCACGUCGGUAAUUAAAGACUCGAUAUUAAGAUUGCAGGAAUGUACUAAGUGUGGACGUGUCAUGGCUAACUCGUUAAGCGUACGAAUAGCUGAAAAUCGGGUAGCGGAUCGGUGAGACGACAAGAAAAUUUUAAGAACGCUAACCACAGGUUGCAAGUCAUCAUCUGAGAUAUUUUUGAGACGGACCAUAUUUCUAGCAACUUCUAAGUUUACCAUGUCUCCUUUACUUUUUAACCACCCAUGUAGAAAUGGAACCAUCUGGUCUCUAAAUUGAGUGUUUUGAUCCAUUAGACUAGAAAUGUAGCGGAUAAGCAUAACAAAUGCAUGAGAAUUUGAGACUGUUCCUAAAUUGCUUACAAGCAGCUGCAAUAACUUAUUCAUUGCAAUCGAAUCAUGUCUUCGAAUACGGUACAGAAGACCUAAAGCAUGAUAUUGAGAAAUGCCGCUGGCAUUUGGUGUGUAACCCAAGGUAGAGGUGAAAAAAGGAGAGCUAGCAACUUUUCUACCAACAUUAUGAGAUGUGACCGCGUCUUGAACCUCGUUGUUCCAACGCGAUACAAUGUCUUUCGCAACAGGAUAUAAAUGAUAUGCGGAAACAAGAGCAGCGCUGGCAACAGCUGAUAUGGGGUCAACAAUACCCGUAGUUAAAAUGCGUUCAAUCGCAGGGACAGUGUUAGCAUCAAUGACACGAAUCAAAGAGCGAAUAGCAUUAGGACGGUAUAUAGUUUCACGUCCCGUAGCGGUGUCUUUCAUGAUACUACUGGUAAUCAUAAUCACAUCUUCAGCAACAACGGAAAGCUCCUUGAUAAUAAUAUAAACAAAUUGGCGAAGACUAGGGUCUUUGUGUUGGAAAAGUUUAGUAAUACCAAAAAAGAGUUCUGUAGCUUGCUUUUCCUGGAAAUGCUCUCCCGUAUAUAUCAAGUAGGCGAUUUUGCUAAGAAGACGUCUACUCUUUCUAGGGCUUAUGGAAGAUGAAUUAAAAGCCCUAGCAUCUUGAGUUACUGUGACUUGAUUGACAUUGGCAAAUAUCGAUUCGUCUAUUGUUAAAAGGUCAGCUCAUAAUUCCAAACAAUCAACAUACCACCAUCAUCAUCUUU